GUGAGUAACGCGUGGGCAAUCUACCCCCUAGCCUGGGAUAACAGUUCGAAAGGACUGCUAACACCGGAUAAUGUUAUUUUGCGACAUCGUGAAAUAAUUAAAGUUUACAAUAGAUUUUUCGCCCGCGUCCCGGGAAAAAGUUGGUGAGGUAACGGCCCACCAAGGCGACGAUUNGAUCCCUCCUGAGAGGAGNACGGCCACUCCAAUCGGUG
Molecule: unclassified non-coding RNA, 212 nt
Filed under: uncultured bacterium
Lineage: Bacteria
Description: partial contains 16S ribosomal RNA and 16S-23S ribosomal RNA intergenic spacer region
Rfam family: Bacterial small subunit ribosomal RNA
Source: RNAcentral